AAGUCGUAACAAGGUUUCCGUAGGUGAACCUGCGGAAGGAUCAGUAGAGAAAACUGGGUCGCAAGACCCGAUCUACCCCACACACACCUGUGAACCGUUUAUAUGUCCGAAGGCCUCGGCCCGAGGGCUACUUUACAAAACAUCUUUAUACAAGUCUCGAACGUCAUGUUAAAUCUUAACAAAACAAA
This 188-nucleotide unclassified non-coding RNA is filed under the name plant metagenome. RNAcentral describes it as "partial contains small subunit ribosomal RNA and internal transcribed spacer 1". The stretch from base 1 to 46 matches the Rfam family "Eukaryotic small subunit ribosomal RNA", at positions 1786 to 1831 of the family's 1831-position model. The record is from RNAcentral.